UACGUAGGGUGCAAGCGUUGUCCGGAAUUAUUGGGCGUAAAGAGCUCGUAGGUGGCCUGUCGCGUCGGCUGUGAAAACUCGGGGCUCAACUCCGAGCUUGCAGUCGAUACGGGCAGGCUAGAGUUCGGCAGGGGAGACUGGAAUUCCUGGUGUAGCGGUGAAAUGCGCAGAUAUCAGGAGGAACACCGGUGGCGAAGGCGGCGUUCUGGACUGCAACUGACACUGAGGAACGAAAGCCAGGGGAGCAAACGGG
Molecule: ribosomal RNA, 253 nt
Filed under: uncultured bacterium
Lineage: Bacteria
Description: partial 16S ribosomal RNA
Rfam family: Bacterial small subunit ribosomal RNA
Source: RNAcentral